This 555-nucleotide ribosomal RNA is filed under the name uncultured bacterium. RNAcentral's name for it is "bacterial SSU rRNA". It matches the Rfam family "Bacterial small subunit ribosomal RNA", at positions 8 to 572 of the family's 1533-position model. The record is from RNAcentral.
AGAGUUUGAUCCUGGCUCAGGAUGAACGCUGGCGGCGUGCUUAACACAUGCAAGUCGAACGGGAAUUACUUUUUAGCUUGCUAAGUUGUAAUUCUAGUGGCGGACGGGUGAGUAACGCGUGGGUAACCUGCCUUAUACCGGGGGACAACAGUUGGAAACGACUGCUAAUACCGCAUAAGCGCACAGUAUCGCAUGAUACAGUGUGAAAAACUCCGGUGGUAUAAGAUGGACCCGCGUCUGAUUAGCCAGUUGGCGGUGUAACGGACCACCAAAGCGACGAUCAGUAGCCGGCCUGAGAGGGCAAACGGCCACAUUGGGACUGAGACACGGCCCAAACUCCUACGGGAGGCAGCAGUGGGGAAUAUUGCACAAUGGAGGAAACUCUGAUGCAGCGACGCCGCGUGAGUGAAGAAGUAUUUCGGUAUGUAAAGCUCUAUCAGCAGGGAAGAAAAUGACGGUACCUGACUAAGAAGCCCCGGCUAACUACGUGCCAGCAGCCGCGGUAAUACGUAGGGGGCAAGCGUUAUCCGGAUUUACUGGGUGUAAAGGGUGCGU